AGGCCACAAUUGUGCAUCCAAUGAUUUAUUUAUCUAUUUAAUUAUUUCCUGGUGCUACUGGUCUCUUCACCAAAAGAUUGUGAAAAUGCUUUGGUCUACUGCCAUCAAACUUUCCUAGCGGUCAGUGUUCUAUGAAAUAAAAGAAAAACAAGAAUAACAAGAAAAACAGCGUGCUAUUCAUUACUUGUACAGAGAAACAACAAAACUUUAGUCAUAAUGAAAAACAUAACAGUUGAACGUUAUGAACACGGAUGUUGACAUAUGACCACAGAUAUGCUUGUAAAAUGAGGUCAAUAAGCUCUUGCUGCAAAUUGUGCAACUCAUUUUCUGAUAAGUCUUGUAUGGAGGCCUCUUCCAAUUCAGGAACUUGGCACGAACUACUUUUACAAGCCGUAUAUAUUCAGGUUAAGGCCAGAACUCCUGUUUCUGAAAAUUUUUUAAUAACCUGUUUGCUUGUAUGAGCAGUUAGUCCCGUGGUAAUCGCAAGGCACAGAUGUCAGAACGUCAAGAGACAUUAUGUAUUUCAGUUUUUUUUUUAGGAAAUAGUAAAACUAUAUUAUCUCGGUCACCUAUUUUUACUUCCGUUUUUGAAAGUUUUUUUGUUCCAAAAGGGGAACAUAAAUUGAGCUGUAUCAUCUCAACUAUUGCUGGCAUUUAAAGAGGGGCGUGCAGCGAGUUGUAUCCACCAUUUAUUAUUGGCAAGUAUUGAUUACAGACAGUACAGUUUCAGGGUUCUGUCCUGUACAGUUAAAACGUGCAAAGCACGUAUCUGCACUAAAAUGAGUUUGUGGAUCUCUUUUCUAACAAACAACAAAUAAUCAAAGAAUACAGCAGAUGAAAGACAAGUUGCACGCAGUCCCACUUGGGCCAGAGACAGGCUAAACCAACACUUUGAUGAAAUACUGAACGAGCUGGUGCUAACCGCUGCUGGCCAAACAGCCUGCUGCAAAAGUAUCAGUGAUUGAACACCUCAGCUCUACAGUGCUUGUCUGCAUUAGAUGAGCAGAAGCCUGGCCCAGAUGACUUUGGUGAACCUACGGAUAAAGUUCGAGCAUCAAAGGCAUCGCUAAAAGAUCUGCAUUUUGGAUGUGGUGAAUUGGUAAUUCCCGAAAAUAUAAUACAGAUUGGUGCCUUGUGAAUUACGCAAUCAAACAUUCCCGUCCGGACAAUAGAGAUUUCAGUUAACACAAAAUGCGUGCUUUGUGGUAGAAAAUCAAAAGCAACCGUCUAAAAUCCACGCAAGCAAUGGGAGAACAGACAAAUUCCACAGGGGAAGGCCGACGGUGAAAAUUGAAUAUGCGACCCAAUAUGCGAGGCAAGUUUGCAAGCCACGACAGGAGAGUUGCUUCAUUAUUUAACAAAGCUAAAAGACAAAUUUCCCAUUUCCAACAAGAACCAGUAUUACUUGGUGUGCCAGUAAUGAAUUUUGUCAUUAAGCAAAAGUUUUGAAGGUAAUUAUUAGAUGGGAGGACACUAUAUAAACUGAAUAAGAGGAACCAGAAAGUCAAGUGUUUUGAAUCAUUCUUUACUGAUAUUGAAACAAGUGGGCAAUGGACAUGCAUGGUCAAACAACACUUGACGUAUAUUUUGUUCUCUUCAAAACCACAACAGUCAGAUUUUUUCAACAUAUAGGUUUAAAAUUCUGUUUAUAUAUUGCCUUCUGUAUAUGUACAUAGGUGAACAUGAAGUACGUACACACACACACACACUGCGCUAUCAACAUGUUUGAAUUGUAAUGUAAUGGACUAUUCCCAGUAGACUAGGCGCUUUUCAAAAGGAGAUGCAUAGAUUGAACACAAGCAGGCACUACACUGACACUUAAAAAUACACUUACUGAUUUUUUUUUUUAAUUUGGUCCUUAAACAGAAAAAUAAUCAGAUCACAUUGAUGUGAGGUUUUAAACAGGAAGGUAUAAAUGAAAUCUUACAAGAGGUUGAGGGGAUUACAGCAUGGUAUGAUGGGACUGGUACCAUCCGCUGGCUUGAUGGACUUGCAUUUCAUUGGUAGGAGGA
Long non-coding RNA from Syngnathus typhle (broad-nosed pipefish), 2012 nucleotides. RefSeq lists it as uncharacterized. Lineage: Eukaryota; Metazoa; Chordata; Actinopteri; Syngnathiformes; Syngnathidae. The transcript has 2 exons. The record is from RefSeq and is a predicted model, not a curated record.